Molecule: long non-coding RNA, 1571 nt
Organism: Myotis brandtii (Brandt's bat)
Lineage: Eukaryota; Metazoa; Chordata; Mammalia; Chiroptera; Vespertilionidae
Exons: 3
Source: RefSeq, a predicted model, not a curated record
ACCAGCCCAGCCUGUCCUCAGGAUGCCAGGGCCCUGCUGCCACUUGUGUCUUCUCCACACCUCCAAGGGGAGCGCCCUUCCUGCCCAGGAUGGGCCCCGCAGGGGAUUCCCACGGGAAAGGGGAACAAAAGUGCUGCUUGGCCUCGGGUCCUACUGUCUGGACCAGAGACAGAGGGGUGUGCUCUCUGAGACUUCCCACUGCGCCCCUAGAGCACUCCCUGCCAAUCAGUCUCCUCGUGAUUGACAUGGAGGGGUGACCACCCAUGCUACAGGCCUCACAGGGUGGUCAUGAGUUCAGGACAGAACAGGACAGUGCAGAGCUCCCUGCCCUGUGCCACCUGGAGGGCUGAGGGUGAGAACAAGGAUGACAGGAAUGACACUGAGUCCUCAGGAGAACCUGUGAGCUCGGUGGAGGUCUCCCACUUUCCAAAGGAGGGAACGGGUCAAGGAGGCCAGGCCCAGGCCUAAGGUCACACACAGCGAGUGAGCGUUGUAGCUGGGAGUCGUCCAGAAUCAGAGCAUGCUGGAGUCGGGGUGGCACUGGUACCAGCUGACUUGGGUCAGAUGUCCAGGGUGUGUGGUCAGGGGUGAUGGGGGAAAUGGGGUGAGGUGAGCAUGACCUCAAUGACCCUGUCCUCCACCCUGGUGGAAGCAGCCCUCCAGGUUUGCCACUCUGGUGCUCUAUGUCCCUGGAUCCAAGCAGAGGUUGCACAAGAAGGUGAGUGAGCCUGUCUGGGGGUGAUUAGGGUCAGAGGAGGGGGUUCUGUCCUCUCAGCUGGAGGCCUCCAAGUCAAGAGAGGGAGGCCUUUCUCCUCCAGCCCCACCUCCUGUGCCCACAGAACCUGAAACCCUCCCUUAGAAGUGACCAAGAGGAGGGCCUGGGGGAGGUGCCUGCAGGUUGGACAUGGGGGUGGGUCUGGCCCAGGACCGCUGACCCAGUGAUUUGCCCAAAGGAGGUCCUGGGAGCUGAUCAAGAGGAGUUCCUGGAGAGUGAGGGAAGAGGCAAUUGAGUGGAGGCCCUAGGGAACCUGGGCCGCUCCACAUGGGAACCCUGGGGGGGCCAGGAGGCUGAGGGGGGGAGGCUUUCAGGAGAGGGCCUGUGCGGCACCUGAGAGCAGUGGCUCAUCCCACCCUCACCCUGUUUGCCCAGUGUGUUCCCUUCCUGGGAAAAUACCUGAAAGAUCUCAAGGUGAUGGACACCAGAAUGGAGGAUGAUCUGGAGGUACAGAGAGUUUUGGAGGAGAUAGUGGUUCUGCAGGAGGCUGCCCAGAAAUACAAAAUAGAGCCUGAGGAGCAAUUCCGGGCCUGGUUCUGGGCCCUGAAACGGCUCAGUGAAAAUGAGAGUUACAUCUGGUCCUGCCAGCUGGAGCCACAGUCCUAGGUGGCCAGGGAAAUACUCACCAAAGGAAGUCAAUGAAUGAUUGACUGCAGAUCUGAAAAUUAUUCUCAACAUAAUCUCUUUUGUUUAGACUAAGAAAUAACUAUACAAAUAUUUAUAUUUAUCCUUUCAGAUAUCCUCAUAAUACAUGUAAAUAUACUCUUACCCAUAGUUAUAAGUCUUUUUUGUUAUG